AUUGAACGCUGGCGGCAUGCUUUACACAUGCAAGUCGAACGGUAACAGGGUGCUUGCACCGCUGACGAGUGGCGAACGGGUGAGUAAUGCGUCGGAACGUGCCGAGUAGUGGGGGAUAACGCAGCGAAAGUUGUGCUAAUACCGCAUACGUACUGAGGUAGAAAGUGGGGGACCUUCGGGCCUCACGCUAUUCGAGCGGCCGACGUCUGAUUAGCUAGUAGGUGAGGUAAAGGCUCACCUAGGCGACGAUCAGUAGCGGGUCUGAGAGGAUGAUCCGCCACACUGGGACUGAGACACGGCCCAGACUCCUACGGGAGGCAGCAGUGGGGAAUUUUGGACAAUGGGCGAAAGCCUGAUCCAGCCAUGCCGCGUGUCUGAAGAAGGCCUUAUGGUUGUAAAGCACUUUAAGCGAGGAGGAGGCUACUCUAGUUAAUACCUAGGGAUAGUGGACGUUACUCGCAGAAUAAGCACCGGCUAACUCUGUGCCAGCCGCCGCAGUAA
This 501-nucleotide ribosomal RNA is filed under the name uncultured bacterium. RNAcentral's name for it is "partial 16S ribosomal RNA". It matches the Rfam family "Bacterial small subunit ribosomal RNA", at positions 30 to 523 of the family's 1533-position model. The record is from RNAcentral.